Molecule: long non-coding RNA, 1200 nt
Organism: Mauremys reevesii (Reeves's turtle)
Lineage: Eukaryota; Metazoa; Chordata; Testudines; Geoemydidae
Exons: 5
Source: RefSeq, a predicted model, not a curated record
ACGUGUAGAUAAGCUGAUUUUCUCUAGCCCAGAAAAGGGCUUUACUCUCUCCUCAGCAGGAGGAUGAACUCCUGCAGCUUUGGGACUGACCAGAAACUGAUAAGUCCCUUCCCCUCAGUUACUCAAAUCACACUGAGGAUGGCAUUAGCGAUGAGAGCCCUCUUGUGAAGCAGGAGAGGGACGCGGGUGGCUCUCUGGACCUGGAGGGAGAAGAAGAAGCUCUCAGAACAUGGCCUAAAUACACAACAUCUCACUUGGAGAGAGGGGGAGCUCUGAGCAGGGAAGGGGCUGAGGAGAGAGGCCUCAGCCUAAGAGACUGAAGAAUCCCUGAUGGGUAGGACUUUGCUUUCAGAGUGUUUGUCUCAGAGGUGCAUGGGCAACCACCGAGUAUCUGACCUAGAGCACCAGGGUCUGUUCUGGAGCCUCACAAAAUGAAAGAAAGAAGACUGCAAAAUGUUACAUGCAGACAUUCUUCUUUGCUACAGCGACUUCCAUUUAUGCACAAAACAUCAGUUCUGAAAGUUUAAAAUAUUGCCACGCAUUUUUCAGAUGUUUAGCAAAUAACAAACACAUAAGAAAGUGUUACAUGAAGGAGGAAACAGUGGGCUAAAUUAGUUGCAGCAAUUAGAGUUCAGGCCAAGAAAUCAGAGUUAUAGUUCUUCAAGACAGAUUUCCAAAAGAAGAACUGAUAGAAUGAAAAGCAGACACUAUUGAGCAGAUAUUGCAGAGACAGAGCUGAUUAAAGAAGUGGCGAUAAAGCAGGUCCCAGGUGGAUACCGGCGAAGUGGGUCCGGCCUUGGCUGCGUCCGCGAACACAGCAACAGACAGACACUGACGAGCCACGCGUGGCAUGUCCCGGCAACCCUGAACCAGAGCCCCCUGAGGACGACUGCCCGCCGGCUAUCCUGGGACCUUUGGCUGUUUUGUUUGAUUCCGUUUGAUUGCCUUUAUUGAUAUGAGCUUGAUGAUAAGAUUACUGGUUUUAUGGAUGGGGUUUGGGCCCUAUGCCCCUGUUGUGGGUGUACCUUUUGUUAAUCCCCGACAAAAUGUCUGGGUCACUUGGGCCCACCAAACAGGUCAAGAUGCAUUUUGCCUCUCGCUGGCUACGCCCUCUGAUCCAUUUCGGACGUGCUUAGUGGGUUAUCCUUAUUUGCGUUUGAGUGAUUUUACCCGUUAUGUACGUAAUGCCACCUUUUUAAA